Molecule: ribosomal RNA, 342 nt
Filed under: uncultured bacterium
Lineage: Bacteria
Description: bacterial SSU rRNA
Rfam family: Bacterial small subunit ribosomal RNA
Source: RNAcentral
CAUGGCUCAGGACGAACGCUGGCGGCGUGCCUAAUACAUGCAAGUCGAACGAACCGCGACUAGGUGCUUGCACUUGGUCAAGGUGAGUGGCGAACGGGUGAGUAACACGUGGGUAACCUACCUCAUAGUGGGGGAUAACAGUCGGAAACGACUGCUAAUACCGCAUAGGACAUAGGAUCACAUGAUCCAGUGAGGAAAGGUGGCGCAAGCUAUCGCUAAGAGAUGGACCCGCGGUGCAUUAGCUAGUUGGUAGGGUAAAGGCCUACCAAGGCGAUGAUGCAUAGCCGACCUGAGAGGGUGAUCGGCCACAUUGGGACUGAGACACGGCCCAAACUCCUACGG